UAAAUACGAUGAAUCAAAAACAAAAAAGAAAGAAAUUAACGAUACGUAGAAAGUUUCUAGAAACAAACUGAACCCUUCUUCUUCGUGGAAGUUCAAUACACAACAAUCUUCUUCUUCUUCUUCACUGCAAUUCAUCACCUUUUUCACUGCACCAUCAUCACAUUUGAACCCUUCAUCACCUUCGAAAUUGGUAAAGCUUGAAACCCUAACUUUCAUAGAAAUUCAACUGCUUCACUCAAACUUGAAAGAAUGAACCGUUCCCUUCGCUGCAAACCUGGGGGUCCUGCUCCUCUAAGCGGGGACAAUUCAAGAAGAAUUAAGAGACGAACCGUUCCCUUCACUCAUUCAUGAUUGCUACCUUGUGUACAUUCUCACUGAAAUGGCUGGAAGUACAUCAAUUGACUGAAAUAGUGUUCACUCGGACAUGUGAUGCAACUCAUCUUCUUGCUUAGAUUCUUAGGAAUCUCGAUUUGAAAGCCAUCCCAAUUAAUGGUCAUGUGAGUCAGGUCUGCCAAUGCCACCAUGAUAUCUCUCAUUUAUAUUAUAAUAUUAUAAUAUGUUUCUUCUAACAGCCAAAACAACUUGGAUAAGUUCAAGUCUGGUGAUUGUAAUAUUCUCCAUUGUACUGACAUAGCUAUAGAAGGGGACUGGAUAUGGAGUGGUUCACUUUUGUUUAAUUUAUUGUUCAAUUGCUUACUAAUCUAUAAUCCUCUUAGUGAUAAUGUGCAUAGAAGGCAAUGACAGAUGUCAACUGUUGUGACAUAUGCAUUGCUGCCAUUAUCUUAGUUCCAAUAUCAAUUAUUAGAAGUUAUUUAUUUUGUUUAUCAUGUCACAUGACAGGUAUUUCCUGUUGCUCAAAAGGGAUUUGUGGAUUCAAUCUUUUUACAAGUAUGAACUCUCCCUUCUCUGGUCUUGAACUUGUUUGAGCGAACUUGCAAGAGGUCAAGGCUGUACAAAAUGCUGCUUAUAAAGCUGAUUGGUAUGUUGUCUAUAUAGUAUGCAAUAUGACACAAUCUACGGAAGUUGUUCAUGAGUGUUGGAAGAGUGAAUUUCACAUGUCUAUAUAACUGGUUAUAUAGAAUUGGAAGAGUCUGCAACUCUGCAUCAAUAUACUUUGUUGGAACUGAAUUUUACAUUGACAAAAGUAUUUACUGACUAGACGUUCACAUUUGAUCAUAUUCAAUUUUAGAGCCAAAAGCAACAAAUAGUUAUGAGUGCGAUUAUUAUGUCAUGAUACACAUGUUGAACAUUGUAUCUGCUGGUGUUGUUGGUUCAUGGACCCAAGUAAGUAAUAUAAUUUCUGUAUCAAGCUGUAUCAAUUUAUUUAAUUGGUGCAAGAGAAAACAAGCUAUAGUACAUGACGAAAUUUGGAGACAGAUCUAAGUUUAAGUUUUUUAUUCUUUUUGUCGAGGUACCGUUACAAUUUUAAUGAUAUGCAGUUGCCCCAACACAUCAAGAUAUAGUAAUUGUAAUUGUUUUUCAAGACUUAGAAUAAUUCAUUAUUGUGUUGGUUCUCUGUGUGUUUAGAAUUGUAAUUAGUUUGUAGUUAGUUACUUAUUUCUUCAUGAGUGAUAUUACCCCUUAAAUUAGAUUUUAAA
Long non-coding RNA from Trifolium pratense (red clover), 1598 nucleotides. RefSeq lists it as uncharacterized. NCBI's taxonomy places the organism in Eukaryota, Viridiplantae, Streptophyta, Magnoliopsida, Fabales, Fabaceae. The record is from RefSeq and is a predicted model, not a curated record. The transcript is spliced from 5 exons.